UUUAAUUGAAGAGUUUGAUCAUGGCUCAGAUUGAACGCUGGCGGCAGGCCUAACACAUGCAAGUCGAGCGGUAACAGAGAUAGCUUGCUAUCUGCUGACGAGCGGCGGACGGGUGAGUAAUGCUUGGGAACAUGCCUUGAGGUGGGGGACAACAGUUGGAAACGACUGC
Molecule: ribosomal RNA, 169 nt
Filed under: Pseudoalteromonas sp. DSM 26666
Lineage: Bacteria; Pseudomonadati; Pseudomonadota; Gammaproteobacteria; Alteromonadales; Pseudoalteromonadaceae
Description: partial 16S rRNA. Bacterial SSU
Rfam family: Bacterial small subunit ribosomal RNA
Source: RNAcentral